CUUAUAGCAGUUAGUUUAUGGGAGAAGAUUGAAUCUAUUGCCAAAUUCUAAUGGCGACAGCGGAAUUAAGAGAGAAAAAUGCAAAUGCUCCAACUUUCCAAUAUAAAGAUGUGGUUUUCAUAUGGAAUCAAUCCUGCUUUUGAUUCAAGACUGUCCUAUAUCCAAGGAUGUGUGUGUGGUGCGCUUGCAUACAAAACAGCAGGGACACGAAGAUGUGGACGAGCCGCCAGAUUAUUACUCUUCAUGAAGUUCAUACUCAGUUGAAGGCGUAAUGUUGGCGUGGACUUUAUGGCAUGCCAGAAAUCUCCAUCUCUUUAUUUCAGGAACGAAUGCUAACUGCAAAUUCUAUCUUGAAAAUUGCAUCCGCUACCUUAAGCAGGUAUCAGGAAGCAAUACUUGAACCAUCAAUGGUCUAGCCUCGCAACCAAGGGGCGUCAAUGUGGCAACCACCAGCUGAAUCCUCCGAGAAAAUCAACACAGAUUCGACGCUUUGCCCUACAGGUUGUGGCUUAGGUCUUGUUAUUCGAGAUUAUGAGGGACGAGUCCUGCUGAGUGCUCACAAACGUCUUCUUCCUCAGUCGUCUAUUCUGUUUAGGGGCAGCACAAGCUAACAUGGCUAGACUAGAGGAACUUGAAGUCAUUAUUAUGGCGGACGUUACCAUUGAAAAUUUGUUUAACUAACAUAAUUUAAAUAUAUUAGGUGAAUGGGAAAUUAAUUUUAAAAAGAUUUUUAGUUUUUUUAAAAGAAUUUUUAGUUUUUUUAGAUUUAUUUUUUUAUUUAUGGUAGUUAAUUAAUUGAUAAUGAAGAAAAUUAAUUCUGAUUUAUUA
Molecule: long non-coding RNA, 828 nt
Organism: Populus trichocarpa (black cottonwood)
Lineage: Eukaryota; Viridiplantae; Streptophyta; Magnoliopsida; Malpighiales; Salicaceae
Exons: 2
Source: RefSeq, a predicted model, not a curated record